Molecule: ribosomal RNA, 253 nt
Filed under: uncultured bacterium
Lineage: Bacteria
Description: partial 16S ribosomal RNA
Rfam family: Bacterial small subunit ribosomal RNA
Source: RNAcentral
UACGUAGGGUCCGAGCGUUGUCCGGAAUUAUUGGGCGUAAAGGGCUCGUAGGCGGUCUGUCGCGUCUGCUGUGAAAACUCGGGGCUUAACCCCGGGCCUGCAGUGGGUACGGGCAGACUAGAGUGCGGUAGGGGAGACUGGAAUUCCUGGUGUAGCGGUGAAAUGCGCAGAUAUCAGGAGGAACACCGGUGGCGAAGGCGGGUCUCUGGGCCGUAACUGACGCUGAGGAGCGAAAGCAUGGGGAGCGAACAGG